GUCAGUGUGGAGGAGUUCACUGCGCACACCCUACGACUGUUCACUUCCUAAUUCUCUCUCUCACUGCCCGCCACCUCCCUCGUGUCUCCCUCUGCGAGAAACCCUAAUUCAAUCAGUCACACUACACCACACAAGAUAUUCGGAUUGGAUUCGCGCCACUUCUUAGCUCCUCAUGUCUGCUGCAUCAGGGGUUAUUUCUAAUUAGAUGCAGUAUCUGUCAAGAGAGGCCUUCCGUCUUCCCACUGUAAUAAUUGGUAGUGUUUCUUAUUCAAGAAUCGUCAGUACUAUGAGAGAAGUGAAGGUUAAAGGAGUGUCUGGGUUUUGUUCUCUGGAUUCUGGUGGAGAAUCUCACAUCUUACAAUCUGAGUCAGCUAGUGAAAGCCAUAGACAUUCAUCCUUAAAUGUGCAGUUCACUCCUGAAAUAGAAAAGAAAUUAGUAGCUGGAAUGAAAGACGCUGUAAUCGUUGAUCGAUUUUUUUGACAAAUCCAACUGGCGUAUUGCUCUCGAAAACGUUAUGAUAACCGGAACCAAUUAACCAAUGCGGGUUAAGGUUAGCCAGUGAGUGUGCAGCCUGAAACAACAAAAAGGUGCAGCAGCAGAAGAUGCACAAAACAGUGAGCUCUCCUGAAAACUUGUUUGUUUCCAAUGUGCCAUAGAAUAAAACUGCUUUGUGACUGGGGAAUUGCUGUUGAAUGCCUUUAUUAGAGGUGGUUUACAUUCUGCAGUUGCAGUAGUCAGCUGUGGUUGAUAUUGUUUUAUGCACAUGGAAAGAAGGAUCAACAUUAUUUUGAUUUAUUGUUUGUA
Molecule: long non-coding RNA, 805 nt
Organism: Malus domestica (apple)
Lineage: Eukaryota; Viridiplantae; Streptophyta; Magnoliopsida; Rosales; Rosaceae
Source: RefSeq, a predicted model, not a curated record